Molecule: microRNA precursor, 59 nt
Filed under: Octodon degus (degu)
Lineage: Eukaryota; Metazoa; Chordata; Mammalia; Rodentia; Octodontidae
Description: miRNA (ENSODEG00000022209.1)
Source: RNAcentral
CUGCCUCUCCACCACCGCCACCGCAGCCUGUCCUUCAGCCGGUGGCGUUGGCAGGGAGG